UACGGAGGAUGCAAGCGUUAUCCGGAAUUAUUGGGCGUAAAGCGUCCGUAGGUGGAAGUUCAAGUCAGCUGUUAAAGCGUGAGGCUUAACCUCAUAAGGGCAGUGGAAACUCUUCGUCUAGAGUGCGACAGGGGCAAGGGGAAUUCCUAGUGUAGCGGUGAAAUGCGUAGAGAUUAGGAAGAACACCGGUGGCGAAAGCGCCUUGCUGGGUCUGCACUGACACUGAGGGACGAAAGCUAGGGGAGCGAAAGGG
Molecule: ribosomal RNA, 253 nt
Filed under: uncultured bacterium
Lineage: Bacteria
Description: partial 16S ribosomal RNA
Rfam family: Bacterial small subunit ribosomal RNA
Source: RNAcentral